UACAAUAAUCCCAUCAAGCAGAAAAGUGGACGAACUGCUUGCAACAUCGGGCACUUUUCUAUUUGAUGGGUAAACAGUCAUAAGCACGCAGGACGAUAGUCCGGAGUGCGCAUGGCUGGCACGAUUUCGAGAGUUCGAAGAACGAAGAAAUCGUGAUUAUUGUA
This 164-nucleotide non-coding RNA is filed under the name Coprococcus eutactus ATCC 27759. RNAcentral describes it as "Clostridiales-1 RNA". It matches the Rfam family "Clostridiales-1 RNA". Lineage: Bacteria; Bacillati; Bacillota; Clostridia; Lachnospirales; Lachnospiraceae. The record is from Rfam by way of RNAcentral.